AAUGUAUUUCGACCACGGCAGCGGCUCGCGGAUUUUCGCUCCGCGCAGCGAGUAGGUGUUGUGCAGGGUGUGGGUCACGUCCUCAGCGGAUUC
Molecule: transfer RNA, 93 nt
Filed under: Enterobacter sp. DC3
Lineage: Bacteria; Pseudomonadati; Pseudomonadota; Gammaproteobacteria; Enterobacterales; Enterobacteriaceae
Also listed under: 1 other name
Description: tRNA-Glu
Source: RNAcentral